This is a long non-coding RNA of Megalobrama amblycephala (Wuchang bream), 2562 nucleotides long. RefSeq lists it as uncharacterized. The transcript is spliced from 2 exons. NCBI's taxonomy places the organism in Eukaryota, Metazoa, Chordata, Actinopteri, Cypriniformes, Xenocyprididae. The record is from RefSeq and is a predicted model, not a curated record.
UCUGAAGCUCAAAACUAUUUGAGACACGUCAGUGGUGAUAAAGUGUCACAAAGGGUGGGGGUGAUUUGGCUGGCCACAUCCUUCCCGCACACCCACUCAAGGAAAAGACACGUCUGUGAGACUGUCAUGAUACCUCCCGUCAAAAAAAAAAAAAAAAAAGAGAGAGAGCCAUCAUCACAGCCAGAAAGUUUUAAUGAUUGUUAUGGGAGGAAUGCGUCACAACACACAGUGCAUCACCCUGUCUACCGUCGAAAGCACCUACAAUAGGCAAGCGAGCGUCAGAACUGGACCUUGAGGCAGUGGAAGAAGGCCCCUGGUCCGAUGAGUCCUUUUGAACGGAAACCAGGAUGCACUGUGGGAAGAUGACAAGCCGGUGGAGGGAGUGUGAUGCCCUUGGCAAUGUUCUGCUGGGAAACCCCGGGUCCGGCCAUUCAUGUGGACGUAAAUUUGACACGUGCCACCUACCUAAACGUUGCAGACCAGGUGCACCCUUUCAUGACAAUGGUGUUCCCUUGUGGAAGUGGCCUCUUUCAGCAGGAUAAUGCACCCUGCCACACUGCACACAUUGUUCGUGAAUGGUUUGAGGAACAUGAAGAGCUCAAGAUGUUGCCCUGGCCUCAAAUCUAAUUGAGCAACUGUAGGGUGUGCUGGACCAUGCAACAAGUUCGAUCCACAACGGCUCCACAUCGCAACCUACCACCUGCCAGAUACGACAUGCUACAUUCACACUGUCAGUUUUUUAGGGUUGACAACCACAUUUAUUUACAGAUGUGAGUCUCAAAAUGUCAAGUUCGCACAACAACUUACACUAGCUUUUCAAAUAUGGUCUGUAUGAACAUGUAACGGGAGUCAAGCCCAUAUUCUUUUACCAGUAACCACAGCGACAGUGACCAAAGUUAUAUAAAAGAUGGCAAAGUCCAUAAAAUGAAAAGUCUUAUCACUUUUGACACGACAAUCCAAUCGUCCAAUCAAGCCAAGAGUUCAUCCAUUAAACCUUCAUUAACUGUCAGCAGCUUUUAUAUGUGGGUGGAGAGUGGAGCAUUUGAGUCACGCUUAGAACAUCUCUGGACCGGUGGAGAACAGUGACCGGAUCUAGAACCUUCAGAUGAGCUCAUAUCUCUAUCGUUGUAAGCUAUUGAAACGACACAUGAAAACAUGCAACUCACAGUAGACACGUGUUUGUGCAGUGCAGAGAGGACCUUUCACACUGUAUGACGUGAAAGACAACUAGAUGUCCAGUCCGGUUCUGCUCACACAGCGCGAGUGUUGAAAAUGUACAGGUGUGAGUUCGGUUAUAGAAUGCGGUUGUCACUAAAUAAAUAACUAAACUGUAUGUGAAUGUAACCGUAUUAAGGACUCAAAUACAGGAUUGACAAUUUAUAUAUAGGGCUAUAUACAGGCAUCUAGGUUACACCUUGGCAUUACAUAUGAUUUUAUUUAUUUAUUUCCACAAGAUGGCACUACUCUGCCUCCAUUCAAUACUCUGUUUUAAAAAGAAAAAAGUCUAAAAUUGAAAAAUAAAUAAAAUGUUUUUAAAUAUAUUUUAUUUUAUGUAGACAAAUAUUGUGUAUAAUCUAAAGGUGAAUAUUGUUUUGUACCAUAAAAUAAUUUAUAUAUUUAUUAGUAAUACUUAUUAAUGACAAUUUAAUAAUAAUAAUUUUAAUUAAUAAUAUUAUUUUAUUUCAUAAUAUUUUAAAAUUAAUAUUUAAAAAAUAUACUGAACUAAAAUAUAGUGCAUUCAUAUGAUGAAAAAAAAGAAAAUGUUACGAUUAUAGUCUUCUGUCUCUUUUGACUGCUGAGGACCACAAGUGUGAGGUGGUACAAUAGGAUUAAGGCUUUAUUUGUUUAUUUUGUCUUUACAAACAUUAAAAUCUUGUUUAUACUAAUUGCAAAUAGUGAUAUAUUACUAUCCUCACAAAGACGAUAUUAAAAGUGAUUUUCCAAAACAACAUGGUUUGCUAUUUGCAACGAUGAAUGAAGACAAAUGAAGAUAUUAUUAUUAUAGGAUACUGUAGGUCCAGAGCUUAAACCUAUGUGGACAUGACUAAACAUCAAGGUCAUAUGACAAAACGCUGAUGGUUUGUUGCCUAUUCAGUAAGGAAAUUCAGUGAAUGAGAUUUUAGAGCCCCCUAGAGGUUAAUACUGUAACUGCAACACUGUCCUUAAAAUUUUACCAAACAACUAAAAUGUACAAAAUUAAACCUACCAUAAUAACAACACCCAUCCAGGAUAAUAUAAAUAAAACUCCACCUCAAAAUGCUUAAUAAUUUGUACAAUUUAAAAAAAAAAAAAAAAAAAAAAAAAAACCGGUUAAGUUAUUGAUGACCCAUCAAUAUCAAAAUCACUAUAACAGUGUUUAUAAAUGCAUCUACGACAGCUCGUUGAAGCCGUGCAUUAGUCAUUGACUUGGACUUGGUAAACAUACUUACCUUUACAAUUACGUGUUAACGUCCAGUUCGAAAAAGAGCUGCAUUUAGACUGCCUGAAAGCAGGUAAGGCAAUACUGCUCUGCCUCGCGCCUGAAAAUACACUCCAUGUCUGUAAACCCAACGCCGUAGAUCG